GAAAUAUAUAAUAGGAGAGCGUAUCCGCCGAAUUUAAGCAUAUAAUUAAGCGGAAGAAAAGAAAAUAACAAUGAUUCCUUUAAUAACGGCGAGUGAACAAGGAAAAGCUCAAAAGGAAAAUCCGCAUUGUGGUGAAAAUUACGAUGUGGAAUUGUCUGGUGAGGGUUCAUCAUUUUCUAUUUUUUAUGAUGGGUUGUGAAAUGAGUAGGAAUACUAUCCCUUAGAGGGUGAAAGGCCCGUAGCUUCCCACAAUUGUAGAAAAUGAUGAUUCUCUGUAGAGUCGUGUUCUUUGAGAUUGGAGCACAAAUAUGUGUGAUACAUUUCACAUAAAGCUAAAUAUUUGUAGGAAACCGAUAGUAUACAAGUACCGUGAGGGAAAGAUGAAAUAGUACUCAGGAAUGAGAUUUAAAUAAUACCUGAAAUCGUUAAGAUGGAACGGAUUGAGAGAGAAAUAACGUAAGAAUAAAUUUAUUUCCUUACUUGCAUGAGUAGGUUUUAACCUUUAUCUUAUUAAAAGAAGCAUCAGUGAACUUUUAGGGUUAUUAAAAUAUGGCCAUGUAUCCUUUACAAAUAUAAUAUAUGAGUAAAAGGAUUUCGUGUCACUUCCGCUAAAAUGGUUGUAUAACGAGCUAUUUUUAUAAUCCGGUUUACUGAGGUUUAUUAAAAUCUUUGGGCCCUUUGCCCAUAUUGAUUUGAGUUGCUUCUAAAAAGCACUUUCUUAACCCACUCGUCUUGAAACACGGACCAAGGAGUCUAACAAAUGUGCGAGCGUAUAUAUGUUUUUAACUAUAAUAAAAGUAUUUUCAUUCUUUUAUAUUUACGCGCAGUUAAAGUAAAUUGUGCUUAACCUAUUUGUAGAAUAUACUGAGAUUGAUAAUAUCUAUUUUCACUUGGAACCUGAAAAUAGAUUUCUUCAGUUGAAGUAUACGCAUACAAACCCGGUUGGCAACUGUCAAACUGAGGGUGAGUAUAUUUGUUAGGACCCGAGAGGCUUUGAACUAAGCGUGGUGAGAUUGAAGUCAGACGAAAGUCUGAUGGAGGAUCGAAUUGAUACUGACGUGCAAAUCGUUCAUUUCAAUCACGUUUAGGGGCGAAAGACUAAUCGAAAAGCCUAUUAGCUGGUUAUUUUCGAAAGAUCUCUCAGGAUCGCUGGAGUUGAUUAAUAUAGUUUUACGAGGUAGAGAUAAUGAUUAGAGGAUUCAGGGAAAUCGUUUUCCUUGGCCUAUUCUCAAACUCCCAAUACGUAAUAAGGGAUUAAUAUCUUUAUUGUAUUUUUCCCACUAUAAAUAAGAUAACUCCA
Non-coding RNA from Plasmodium berghei, 1300 nucleotides. The record is from Rfam. NCBI's taxonomy places the organism in Eukaryota, Apicomplexa, Aconoidasida, Haemosporida, Plasmodiidae.